AGAGUUUGAUCCUGGCUCAGAUUGAACGUUGGCGGCAGGCCUCAACCAUGCAAGUCGAACGAGAAAGGCCCUUCGGGGCUGAGUAAAGUGGCGGACCGGUGAGUAACGCGUAGGAAUCUACCCGGCAGUGGGGGAUAACUCGGGGAAACUCGAGCUAAUACCGCAUGCGACCGGUGCCUUAGGGUGCCGAUGAAAGCGGGGGAUCUCCCGUGGCGGCUUUAAGCCGCAGCGGAAGACCUCGCGCUGUCGGAGGAGCCUGCGUUGGAUUAGCUUGUUGGUAGGGUAACGGCCUACCAAGGCGACGAUCCAUAGCUGGUCUGAGAGGACGAUCAGCCACACUGGGACUGAGACACGGCCCAGACGGCUACGGUCGGCAGCAGGUGGGAAUCUUGCACAAUGGGCGAAAGCCUGAUGCAGCCAUGCCGCGUGUGUGAAGAAGGCCUUAGGGUUGUAAAGCACUUUCAGUGGCGAAGAAAAGGUCGGCGUUAAUAGCGCCGCCCCUUGACGUAACCACAGAAGAAGC
RNAcentral lists this ribosomal RNA (523 nucleotides) under uncultured bacterium. Its description in RNAcentral is "bacterial SSU rRNA". It matches the Rfam family "Bacterial small subunit ribosomal RNA", at positions 8 to 491 of the family's 1533-position model. The record is from RNAcentral.